RNAcentral lists this ribosomal RNA (464 nucleotides) under uncultured bacterium. RNAcentral's name for it is "SSU rRNA". It matches the Rfam family "Bacterial small subunit ribosomal RNA", at positions 26 to 523 of the family's 1533-position model. The record is from RNAcentral.
AGCCUGAACGCUGUCGGCGUGAUUAAGACAUGCAAGUCGCACGGUGUAGCAAUACACAGUGGCGGACGGGUGAGUAAUGUAUCGUUAACGUACCCCGAACUCUGGGAUAGCCAUCCGAAAGGAUGGGUAAUACCAGAUGAGACCACGAGCUGGCAUCAGUUUGUGCUCAAAGGUUCGCCGGUUUGGGAUCGGACGAUAUGGUAUCAGGUAGUUGGUGAGGUAAUAGCUCACCAAGCCUUCGACGCCUAGCCGGACUGAGAGGUCGGACGGCCACAUCGGGACUGAGACACUGCCCGGACUCCUACGGGGGGCUGCAGUAAUGAAUCUUCCACAAUGCACGAAAGUGUGAUGGAGCGACGCCGAGUGAAGGUUAAGUCCUUCGGGAUGUAAACUUCUAAACCUGCUAGAAGACCUGAUCGGCAGGCUAUAAGUGGCGACUAACUCUGCGCCAGCAGCCGCGGUAA